CACGUAGGGUGCGAGCGUUGUCCGGAAUUAUUGGGCGUAAAGAGCUCGUAGGUGGUUUGUCGCGUUGUCCGUGAAAAACUCACAACUCAAUUGUGGGCGUGCGGGCGAUACGGGCAGACUGGAGUACUGCAGGGGGAGACUGGAAUUCCUGGUGUAGCGGUGAAAUGCGCAGAUAUCAGGAGGAACACCGGCGGCGAAGGCGGCACUCUGGGCCGGUACUGACGCUGAGGAGCGAAAGCGUGGGGUAGCAAACAGG
This 256-nucleotide ribosomal RNA is filed under the name uncultured bacterium. RNAcentral describes it as "partial 16S ribosomal RNA". It matches the Rfam family "Bacterial small subunit ribosomal RNA", at positions 524 to 776 of the family's 1533-position model. The record is from RNAcentral.